This 301-nucleotide ribosomal RNA is filed under the name uncultured bacterium. RNAcentral's name for it is "partial 16S ribosomal RNA". It matches the Rfam family "Bacterial small subunit ribosomal RNA", at positions 509 to 807 of the family's 1533-position model. The record is from RNAcentral.
CAGUAGCCGCGGUAAUACGUAGGGUGCGAGCGUUAAUCGGAAUUACUGGGCGUAAAGCGUGCGCAGGCGGUUUUGUAAGACAGGCGUGAAAUCCCCGGGCUCAACCUGGGAAUGGCGCUUGUGACUGCAAAGCUAGAGUGCGGCAGAGGGGGAUGGAAUUCCGCGUGUAGCAGUGAAAUGCGUAGAUAUGCGGAGGAACACCGAUGGCGAAGGCAAUCCCCUAGGCCUGCACUGACGCUCAUGCACGAAAGCGUGGGGAGCAAACAGGAUUAGAUACCCGGGUAGUCCCUGUCUCUUAUAC